UUUCGACUCCAAAGUUUUCUCUCUCUAGAUUUUGGCGGGAAAAUCUUCAAAAAAAUCCUCGAAUUCUCAUUCAGUCUUCUUCUCCGAUCAGGUUCCCAUCAAUUCAUACACAGAAAAUGUCGAAAAUCAAAGUUUGCGCGCUAUUCAGACCUCUUAAUCAGAAAGAAAGAGCAGAUCACGGCGAUUCCAUCUGCAUACACCGCGUAGACUCUGAAUCUUUCAUAUUCAAGGAUGAGAAGGAGGACUUCAAUUUUAGCUUCGAUAGAGUUUUCUAUCCAGGAUCUCCGCAAUCUGACGUGUAUGAUUUUAUUGCUCUGCCUCUUG
Long non-coding RNA from Coffea eugenioides, 324 nucleotides. RefSeq lists it as uncharacterized. The transcript has 3 exons. Lineage: Eukaryota; Viridiplantae; Streptophyta; Magnoliopsida; Gentianales; Rubiaceae. The record is from RefSeq and is a predicted model, not a curated record.